RNAcentral lists this unclassified non-coding RNA (376 nucleotides) under uncultured Actinomycetes bacterium. Its description in RNAcentral is "uncultured actinobacterium contains 16S-23S intergenic spacer region". The record is from RNAcentral. Lineage: Bacteria; Bacillati; Actinomycetota; Actinomycetes.
UCCGAGUUAUCCCCGGCAGUCUCCUAUGAGUCCCCGGCCGAACCGCUGGCAACAUAGGACAAGGGUUGCGCUCGUUGCGGGACUUAACCCAACAUCUCACGACACGAGCUGACGACAGCCAUGCACCACCUGUCACGGGCCCUUACGGACACUGUAUUUCUACAGCUUUUCCCGUGAUGUCAAACCCAGGUAAGGUUCUUCGGGUUGCAUCGAAUUAAGCCGCAUGCUCCGCCGCUUGUGCGGGGACCCGUCAAUUCCUUUGAGUUUUAGCCUUGCGGCCGUACUCCCCAGGCGGGGCGCUUAAUGCGUUAGCUACGGCACGGAUCCCGUGGAAGGAAACCCACACCUAGCGCCCACCGUUUACGGCGUGGACUAC